This 541-nucleotide ribosomal RNA is filed under the name Mene maculata. Its description in RNAcentral is "partial 16S ribosomal RNA". It matches the Rfam family "Bacterial large subunit ribosomal RNA", at positions 600 to 1347 of the family's 2925-position model. The record is from RNAcentral. Lineage: Eukaryota; Metazoa; Chordata; Actinopteri; Menidae.
CGUACCUUUUGCAUCAUGAUUUAGCCAGCACCCUCAAGCAAAGAGCACUUUAGUUUGACCACCCGAAAUUAGGUGAGCUACUCCAAGACAGCCUAUCCAUAAGGGCAAACCCGUCUCUGUGGCAAAAGAGUGGGACGAGCUUCGAGUAGAGGUGACAGACCUACCGAACCUAAUUAUAGCUGGUUGCCUGGGAACUGGAUAGAAGUUCAGCCCUACGGCUUCUCCUUCCCAACCCGUUCCAACACACCCCUGGCACUUUAGAGAAACCGUACGAGUUAGCCAAAGGAGGUACAGCCCCUUUGAACCAAGAAACAACUAUACCAGGAGGGUAUCAAUCAUAUUAUUAAAGGCAAAAUGCCAAGGUGGGCCUAAAAGCAGCCAUCCUUAUAGAAAGCGUUACAGCUCAAGCAUUUCCCACGCCCAUUAUACCGAUAACCCAAUUCCAACCCCCUAACCUUACCAGGCCAUCCUAUGCACACAUAGGAGUGACCAUGCUAAUAUGAGUAAUAAGAGGACACGCCCCUCUCCCUGCACACGUGUA